Molecule: transfer RNA, 72 nt
Filed under: Camelus bactrianus (Bactrian camel)
Lineage: Eukaryota; Metazoa; Chordata; Mammalia; Artiodactyla; Camelidae
Also listed under: 1 other name
Rfam family: tRNA
About the family: Transfer RNA (tRNA) molecules are approximately 80 nucleotides in length. Their secondary structure includes four short double-helical elements and three loops (D, anti-codon, and T loops).
Source: Rfam by way of RNAcentral
GUGGGUGUGGCUCAGUGGUAGAGCAUAUGCUUAGCACGCACAAGGUCCAAGGUUCAAUCCCCAGUACCUCCA